This 436-nucleotide long non-coding RNA is filed under the name Actinidia chinensis (golden kiwifruit). RNAcentral describes it as "long non-coding RNA (ACHI_LNC002729)". The record is from RNAcentral. Lineage: Eukaryota; Viridiplantae; Streptophyta; Magnoliopsida; Ericales; Actinidiaceae.
UUUUUUUUUUUUUUUUUUUUUUUUAUUUUUUUUUUUUUUUUUUUUUUUUUUUUUUUUUUAAAAAAAAAAAAAAAAAAAAAAACCCCCCCCCACCCCCCCCCCCCCCCCCCCCCCCCCCCCCCCCCCCCCCCCCCCCCCCCCCCCCCCCCCCCCCCCCCCCCCCCCCCCCCCCCCCACCCCCCCCCCCCCCCCCCCCCCCCCCCCCCCCCCGCCCCCCCUUUUUUUUGAAAUCUUUUUUUGUUUUUUUUUUUUUGCCUUGGGCCCCCCCCCCCCCCCCCCCCCAUUACGAGCGCCCCCCCCCCCCCACCCCCCCUCCCCACCCCGGGCCCCCCCCCCCCCCCCCCCCCCCCCCCCCCCCCCACCCCCCCGCCACCCCCCCCCCCCCCCCCCGCCGCGCCUGCCGCCCCCCCCCCCCCCCCCCCCCCUCCCGCGCCAC